CAAAGUUAAUGGCGCUGCUUUUGUGAAAUCGCAGCUGAAUUAGUUAGGUAUCUUUUAUUGAUGUGCUCUCAAGUUAGAAUUGCAGGAGUUGGCUUAUUCCAUCUUGGGGUUUUCAUGAGUAGCUGCUGGAUUUUUGUGCCAUGUGGGAAGGAAGGAAAUGGAAAAGCUUUUGGUGGAUUGGGAACUAUUUAUUUUUGUUUAUCUCUUUGAGGCAGAGUGGGCAGCUUGCAAAUUGCCCAACGUUCUCUCUUUUUUUUCCUUGUAAAAUGAUCUCGUUGUACUGGGAAUCUGGGAUUGUCGCUCACUUUGAGGUUUGAGCCCUUCGUUAUCAUGUUUGUUUAUCCAACAACCUCAGGUUUUAGCUACCAAGUUGUAUUAUGAUUGGUAACUAUCCUGUUACAUUGAGAGAGAGAG
RNAcentral lists this unclassified non-coding RNA (414 nucleotides) under Hevea brasiliensis (rubber tree). Lineage: Eukaryota; Viridiplantae; Streptophyta; Magnoliopsida; Malpighiales; Euphorbiaceae. The record is from RNAcentral.